RNAcentral lists this ribosomal RNA (435 nucleotides) under uncultured bacterium. RNAcentral describes it as "partial 16S ribosomal RNA". It matches the Rfam family "Bacterial small subunit ribosomal RNA", at positions 29 to 507 of the family's 1533-position model. The record is from RNAcentral.
AACGAACGCUGGCGGCAGGCUUAACACAUGCAAGUCGAACGCAUGCCUUCGGGCAUGAGUGGCAGACGGGUGAGUAAAGCGUGGGAACCUACCCCUUGGUACGGGAUAGCUCCGGGAAACUGGAGAUAAUACCGUAUGUUUCUUGAGGGACAAAGAUUCAUCGCCAAGGGAUGGGCCCGCGUCGGAUUAGCUAGUUGGUGGGGUAACGGCCUACCAAGGCGACGAUCCGUAGCUGGUCUAAGAGGAUGAUCAGCCACAUUGGGACUGAGACACGGCCCAAACUCCUACGGGAGGCAGCAGUGUGGAAUAUUGGACAAUGGACGCAAGCCUGAUCCAGCCAUGCCGCGUGAGUGAUGAAGGCCCUAGGGUUGUAAAUCUCUUUCACCGGUGACGAUAAUGACGGUAACCGGUGAAGAAGCCCCGGCUAACUUCGUG